CUCGACUUGAAAUAUUUGACUAUCUGAUAAAAAAAAUUAAAAUCAUUUAUCAGACAAAUAGCACGAAUGUUUAACACCAGAGCGAUGCAAGAAUCAAAUCGCUAUGAAAUACUAGUUUAUGAUAAUAUCAAACUGAUAUAUGAGUUAAAAUUUUCAUAGUAAAUCCUAAUAGGUGAUUCAUAUGUAACAUAUUUCAACUGGGAUUCUCAUUAUUGUUACCGACACCAUCCACAUAAUAGCUAUGAUGAUAAGGAAUAGUGUGGCUUUAUAGAAAAACAAUAAUGAAGAUGAACAUAUAGAACUUUGAUCAAAAAAAAAAAAAAAAAAAAAAAAAAGAUGAACAUAUAGAACAAAACUAACAGAAGAGAAAAAGAAUGGACUCUCCUUUUUAUAUAACUCGAUUAAAAAUAUAUAUACGCAGAAAAAUGUCGGCUUCAAACCCUACAAAGCUCCCCUCAGCCCCUCACAGGCUCACACCACGCCCCUCUCUCGCUCAUGUCUCUUUCUUAUAUACGCACCGUAUAGAUGUCUUAUAUAUUUGGAUUUUUAACGUUAAUACCAUUCGACUAAGUUUUAUUUUGAAUAAAAACCAGCAAACUAAGUAUUUAACAAAAAAUCUUCCAACUAAUUUUAUUUAAUGAAUUAAACUCUAUCA
This 655-nucleotide long non-coding RNA is filed under the name Brassica rapa (field mustard). RNAcentral's name for it is "long non-coding RNA (BRAP_LNC004181)". The record is from RNAcentral. Lineage: Eukaryota; Viridiplantae; Streptophyta; Magnoliopsida; Brassicales; Brassicaceae.